RNAcentral lists this ribosomal RNA (414 nucleotides) under Salmonella enterica subsp. enterica serovar Muenchen. Its description in RNAcentral is "partial 23S ribosomal RNA". It matches the Rfam family "Bacterial large subunit ribosomal RNA", at positions 1223 to 1636 of the family's 2925-position model. RNAcentral also lists the same sequence under 2 other names. Lineage: Bacteria; Pseudomonadati; Pseudomonadota; Gammaproteobacteria; Enterobacterales; Enterobacteriaceae. The record is from RNAcentral.
GUUGGGUAGGGGAGCGUUCUGUAAGCCUGUGAAGGUGGCCUGUGAGGGUUGCUGGAGGUAUCAGAAGUGCGAAUGCUGACAUAAGUAACGAUAAAGCGGGUGAAAAGCCCGCUCGCCGGAAGACCAAGGGUUCCUGUCCAACGUUAAUCGGGGCAGGGUGAGUCGACCCCUAAGGCGAGGCCGAAAGGCGUAGUCGAUGGGAAACGGGUUAAUAUUCCCGUACUUGGUGUUACUGCGAAGGGGGGACGGAGAAGGCUAUGUUGGCCGGGCGACGGUUGUCCCGGUUUAAGCGUGUAGGUGUGUGUUCCAGGUAAAUCCGGUUCACUUUAACACUGAGGCGUGAUGACGAGGCACUACGGUGCUGAAGCAACAAAUGCCCUGCUUCCAGGAAAAGCCUCUAAGCAUCAGGUAACA